CACAUACCUACUUUGUUGAUCUUCUCUACCCAACCCCAUAACCCCUUUCCCUACCAGCUUCCUGCUGGUCCCUCCCCACAAUAUAUCCUAACAUGGUUUCAAGUCACUUCAAUUCUAUUACUCUUUUCCCCUCUCCCUUAAGACUUCUUUUUCCUUCUCAUAGUUCUCUUCCAUGGCUGCAGGGAGUGACCCAACUGGGCAAUAAGGGAAUGAAGAAUGGACAGACAUACAGACAGACACAGAAAAGCUGAAAUGAGGUCAUCUGGACUCUCUGACAGAGAAGCUACAGCCCUCCCCACCUCCCAGGUAGGUUAUUACAGACAGAUAAACAAGGACAUGGGUUAUUUAUUAUAUCCAGCUAAACAAAGACACGGGGUUAUUAUAUGCAGCUAAACAAUAAGGCAGGUUUAGCUAAUCUCAUUAAAGGCAGUCUGUAUGAAAACUGAAAACUGCCUUCAGGGUAUAAACAUGAGGGGAAGAAAGCUACAGGGGACAUUUUACACACAUACUAUCAGGAUUUUCACACUUCGAGCCCAGGCCAAGGAAGGCUUGCCAUUCCUCUGACGUUCCUCUGGGGAAGGCUUUAGUCACCUCCACUGCGGCCAAGGGGUUGGAAUCCUUGACACGGCUGUGGCCAUGUCAACAGUACACAUAAUCUCAGGACUUCACUUGCUCCUACAAUCCCCUAUCUAGAUUCAUGCCCUAUACCAAAACACACACACAUUAAAAAUUAAUACUAGAAUUCAUAUAUGAAAAAAGCAAGCAAUUGUUAUCUUUUGAGUCUGGGUUACUUAGUGAUUUCCAGUUUUGUAUACUUUGCUGCAAAUGUCAUGCUUUCACAGUGUGUGUGUGUGUGUGUGUGUGUGUGUGUGUGUGUGUGUGUGUCUGUGUCUGUGUCUGUGUGUGUCUAUGUAUCUGUGUGUGUCUGUGUGUCUGUAUGUGUCUGUGUAUGUGUGUAUAUGUGUGUGUGCAUGCAGGCACAUGUAACACAUUUUAUCUACUCAUUCAUCAACGGCUAUCUCCACUGGUUCUGUUUCCUUGGCCAGCAUGCGCAGAGCACAGCAUGGAUGGACAGUAUGUCUGUGGUAUGACUUGGCAUCCUUUGGGUAACUGCCCAGGAGUGACAUAGCUGGGUCAUAUGGUAGUUGUAAUUUUAGUUUUCUGAGAAACCUCCAUACUGAUUUCCAUAAUGUCUGCAUCACUCUACACUCCCACCAGCACUGAGUAAAGAGGAGCUCUCUGCCUCAUUACAGGGAGAAGCUGUAUAAUCACAGAGGUAGCCUGCAUCUGUGUGGCUGUGGUGUGAUGUGGUGUGAGCCAUCGCAGCAGGGUAAUUUCCUCCCUGGUGGUUUCCCUACAUCAGUUCGUCCAAGCAGAGCUUUAGCAGCAAAAUCCAAAAUUCCUUCAAGUAUUUGCAACAGACCUGGUAAAUUCAAGGGUUUUAACAUUUGCAUACACACACACACAAAACAUAUGUGUGUGUACAUAUAUAUGUAUGCAUGUAUGUAUGUAAAUGUAUGUGUAUAUAUAGUCCCUAAAUGUGUAUGUUUAAAGGAAAAGUAACCAAAAAUUAUGUUUUCACAGCAAAAAAAGGAAAAUAACCACUUUCCUCUUCUACAUCAAGGGAAAUAUGGCUCUUCUACAUUCCUCUCUGACCCUCCUACAAGACAUUUCUUAAAUCUUUUCACCUAUUGCCACA
RNAcentral lists this long non-coding RNA (1699 nucleotides) under Mus musculus (house mouse). Its description in RNAcentral is "long non-coding RNA chr1:160798951-160800650". Lineage: Eukaryota; Metazoa; Chordata; Mammalia; Rodentia; Muridae. The record is from RNAcentral.